Molecule: long non-coding RNA, 1251 nt
Filed under: Felis catus (domestic cat)
Lineage: Eukaryota; Metazoa; Chordata; Mammalia; Carnivora; Felidae
Description: lncRNA (ENSFCAG00000040965.2)
Source: RNAcentral
GUGGGACGUGCUCAGGCACUACCGGCAGUCUGGUAUGGAGGGGAGCUCUCCCCUGGGCGCUGCCGGAGGACUGCCUGGUCCUGACCAGGCACCCCCAGUACUGCAAAGAAGCCUGGUCAUUGAGGGAAAACAAAAAGAGGCUGCCCCAAACAAGGGUUGGCUGGAAUAAUGCAUGAAUGGACUGUUUAACCUGGAGGGAUGGAGAGGGGACAAAGGCAAGACUAGGCUGGGUUUGUUUGGGAGAGGAGCCAGGCACGUGUCCCAACGGACUCCAACUCACUAAACUCUUGUAGAAUUAUCAGGGCUGAUGAAGUGCAGGGUUUCAAACUCCUGCUGCAUGAUUGCUUUGUCACCACUUAAUUAGCAUCAGACGCCUUCAUGAUUUAACCAGGAGCCUGGCUUCUGCACACACAGGAGGGAGACUGCCCUCAAAGUUGCUAGGGGUAACCCUAACUCACAGUAAAACCCUCCGGAGUGGACCUGUGUCUGUCACUGAAAGAGAUACAGCCCACCCUUGAAUCAUGGGAAGGCUGUGUCACCCAGAGACACCAACAGAGGGCUUCAGAAACCUCCAGAUCAGUCAUUUCCAAGGAGAACCGACUGCUUCACAGCAUCUUCUCUGCCCAUGUUAACAAACGACACACAAAGAAAUGGGUACUAAACGGUCAUACCGCAGAGAAUAGCCAACAUCCGAAACCAGGCCUCUCCCAGCGCACACCAGCGUCCCCACUGCCGCCGACAGGGUCUCCUGGAGCCCCAGAGACCGUUCCGGGCCGAGGCUUUUGGGUCCCUUCCACGGAGGCAGAGACGGUCCCGAUCCUCAGUCCCGACGCAGCUCCCCAUUCUUCGUCCCCAGGCACCGGCCCCCCCUAUUCUUGGCCGGUGGCUCCCCUGGCUGUCGUGGGGAGGGGGCAGCCAGGACGACGGUGGCCACUUGGGCCUCGGGCCCUCAGUUCUGGGGCCCUCGGCCGAAGGGCUGGAAGCGGGCCAGCUCCCCCAGGGCCGAGGCUCCCACGGCAGCCAGGCUCCCCCCACUGGGCCCGCUGCUCCCGGGCUCGGUGGUGCCGGGCUCCCACCCGUGGGAGGAGGAGGCCGGGCGCCCCGGUGAGGCGGGGGGGGGGGGGCCCCCUCCCCCGCCCCCGCCUUGGCCCAGGGGGAAGAAGAGAGGAUGGCGAGUCCCCUCUUCGGCAGGGCUGUGUCCGCAGGGACCAGCUCCUCGUCCUGCCCCGGAGGAGAGGGACUUUCCAGAAC